UACGUAGGGGGCAAGCGUUGUCCGGAGUUACUGGGCGUAAAGCGCACGCAGGCGGUUCUCUCAGUUCCGGCUGACAGUCGUCGGCUUCACUGACGAAGGCGUGGGAAGACGGGAGAACUUGAGGGCUUCAGAGGGACACGGAAUUCCGGGUGGAGUGGUGAAAUGCGUAGAUAUCUGCAGGAACACCCGUGGCGAAAGCGGCGCGCUGGACCACUACUGACGCUGAGGAACGAAAGCUAGGGGAGCAAACAG
RNAcentral lists this ribosomal RNA (252 nucleotides) under uncultured bacterium. RNAcentral describes it as "partial 16S ribosomal RNA". It matches the Rfam family "Bacterial small subunit ribosomal RNA", at positions 524 to 775 of the family's 1533-position model. The record is from RNAcentral.